This 2000-nucleotide long non-coding RNA is filed under the name Homo sapiens (human). RNAcentral describes it as "long independently transcribed non-coding RNA 475 (LINC00475)". Lineage: Eukaryota; Metazoa; Chordata; Mammalia; Primates; Hominidae. The record is from RNAcentral.
GUGACUUCGCGCCGCUGUGUGCGCCUCCCCGAGCGCCGGCUGCGCCCCCCAGCCCGGCCCGGGGCCUACCGCCUGCCCGGCCCCCUGCCACUGCCAGGAGGACGGCAUCAUGCUGUCUGCCGACUGCUCUUGAGCUUGGGCUGUCCGCCAUACCGGGGGACCUGGAUCCCCUGACGGCUUACCUAUUCCAUGUCAGUAGUGGCAAACCUUUACAGGAUUAUGAAUACAAAAUGCCACUGGUCUCCUGAAGAUACAGCAGCAAAAUGAAACAUCCACAAAUAUGACUUAAAUUGAGAAUAUGUGCAUGUCUAUAACUCCACCCUUCACUGUGCUGCGGUUGUUCUCUGGACCACUCCUAUUUCAUCAGUGUUAUUGUCAACCUGAAGAACAAGCAGAAAGAGGCUCUCUGAAAUGAAAUGGAUGCUUAUUUGGGAAGAGAGCAUUGCAACGGGAAUACACAUGCCAUCGUAAAUGACAAGAAUAUUCAGGGAGGACCCCAUCACAUUUGGCUGCCAUAUCUCCUUGGACUCCUCUUGGCUGUGACAGGGUCUCAGACGGCCCUUGCCGUUGAUGACCUUGAUGGUUUGAAGAGCCCUAAUCAGGUGCAUUGCAGGACGCUCCUCAGUUGGGAUUUGUCUGAGGCUUUCCUCGUAAAUAGCCUGGGGUUAUGGGUUUUGGGAGGAAGACCACACAGAUAAAUGCCAUUCUCAUCAUGUCAUAACAAGGGUACACACGCUGCUGACAUGACUCUUCACUGACAGUGGUGGCUGUAGUCGGCUGGCUGAGGUCUCCCCACUGUGAAGUCCCCCUCUCCAUGCUGUACUCUCUGGAAGGACGUCGCCAUGCACAGCCGACACUUAGGGGUAUGGGUUGUGCUCCACUUCCGAGGAGGAGAAGUAGCUACAUGAGUGACUGGGAAAUGUCCUGGGGGGGAUACUCAUCCAUGCCUCCACAUUACUUAUGUACUCAAUCUUUUAUUUAUAUUGCUAUGGACUCAUGGAUACUCAGCCCAUGCUCGGGCUGGACUCCAGUGUGACUUUGCUUCUUUUCCUGCUCAGCUUCUUCGAGGUUGGCCUUGGUGAGCUCCCGUGGUGGGUUCCCAGCUCCUGUGUGCCUCUGACAGGUGCUCAUCACUUGGCUUUUUGGGCAUCUCCUUAAUUUCUGCUACUAAAGAUGCUCCUGGCUUAUCUUCUGCAUGUCCUGCCUUUGCCCUUGAAUCAGUCAAUUCUCCAAGAAGCUCUGGCUCCUUUCCUAGAACAGUGUUAGAAACCAAGAUCUGGGCACUGGUGUGUUCAUUGCUAGUGAGGUGUUGUUGCUUCUAGACUCUCUCAGCUGAUAGAGCAAGGGAAUGUUUAAGCCAUUUAGAACAUAAAUGCAUUCAUUUAAAAACAUGGACUAUGUAUUCACUGUGCCUUGGGCCCCAAGCUGGGUGUUGAGGAUCUUGAGAAAAUAAAUCAAGGAAGCCCAUGGUCUAGGGUAGUGCUGGUGAGGAGAUAACAGACUCUUGAGAUGGCACUAGGGCCAUGGCGGAGACAGACCUGGACACUAGUGGGACCCAGCAAAGACCCACAGCAGCCUGGGGAGGCGGCUUCCAGAGUGCUGCGACUUUGGAACAUGAAUACUCCUGAGGGUUCACAAACGAGCCUGGGGGGUAUUCCAGGACCAGCUGGUAGGGGGGCAAAGGUUGGGUCAUGAACUAUGGGGAAUGCAAGAAUUGCAAGAGGUUGAACAUGCCUGGGGGUGCAGAGACAGAGGCUGAGGUGCAGGGCAGUCUGAGACAUGGUUAGGAGCCUGGGCAUUCUCUUGAGAGACAGGGGAGAAGAAAAUUCAGAUGGAGCGUUCAUUUCAGGAAGGCCACCCUGGGAUCUGGGCAGGAGAUGAAUACCUGGCAGGGUCAGGGAAGGGAAGGUAAUUGAAAGUUUACAAAAACAAAACCCCAUUCACAUUCUUAAAGUAUUCUUCAUAGAGGUACUAUUUCAAUAAACACAUGCUUUAUUUGU